GAUAAAGUGACAGCUGUGGAUCCUGACUCCAGUUAUUCCAAAGAGUUUGUGUACAAGGUAGGAAAUGAUCCUGCUGGCUGGGUGACGGUGGAUCCCCUCACAGGAAACAUCACAAUGAUAAAGACGCCCGACAGAGAAUCUCCACACGUUGUUAACGGCACCUACACCAUCUUAGUGUAUGCAGUUGACAAAGGUAUACCACCAAUGACAGGAACAGCUACACUACAUAUCCAUGUGUCUGACCAGAAUGACAAUGUGCCACAGCUAACAGUGGACAGCCUGGAUGUGUGUGUGUCUGAUGCCCCCACAACCACCAACAUCGAGGCCUUUGACCCAG
Molecule: non-coding RNA, 337 nt
Organism: Maylandia zebra (zebra mbuna)
Lineage: Eukaryota; Metazoa; Chordata; Actinopteri; Cichliformes; Cichlidae
Source: RefSeq, a predicted model, not a curated record